GGACCUGAUAUCAAACAAGACUACCC
RNAcentral lists this ribosomal RNA (26 nucleotides) under Saprolegnia diclina. Its description in RNAcentral is "partial 28S ribosomal RNA". RNAcentral also lists the same sequence under 1 other name. Lineage: Eukaryota; Oomycota; Saprolegniomycetes; Saprolegniales; Saprolegniaceae. The record is from RNAcentral.